GUUUGACCUCGGAUCAGGUAGGGAUACCCGCUGAACUUAAGCAUAUCAAUAAGCGGAGGAA
Molecule: ribosomal RNA, 61 nt
Filed under: Scopulariopsis brumptii
Lineage: Eukaryota; Fungi; Ascomycota; Sordariomycetes; Microascales; Microascaceae
Also listed under: 2 other names
Description: partial 28S ribosomal RNA
Rfam family: Eukaryotic large subunit ribosomal RNA
Source: RNAcentral